This 585-nucleotide long non-coding RNA is filed under the name Anas platyrhynchos platyrhynchos (common mallard). RNAcentral's name for it is "lncRNA (ENSAPLG00000019555.1)". Lineage: Eukaryota; Metazoa; Chordata; Aves; Anseriformes; Anatidae. The record is from RNAcentral.
CUUUAAGACUGAUUAAGGGAAGUGGAAAACUUUGCAACACUAAUUCCACAUCAUCAUGAGCAGAGUAAAGAGUCUGGUACAAAACAAAAUAUAAAAAAAACAUAAGCAAUUAAAUAUGUAUUUAGCAGCAAGUGUGAUUCGAUUCCUGUUUUUCCCCCAGCAACUGCACUUGCUGAAACUGGACAUGCAACUGAAAAUUACUUUCUUGUUCUAAACAGAUUGUAUCAUUGUCUUCUUGUUCGUCUAAAUAAAUGGACUUUGCUUUUCAGCAUCUAGCUAAACACAGGAUCAGAUGCUAUAUUUUUUUGGUUAAUCAGCCCCUGUCUCUGCAGCUAUCUCUGAUGUCUCUCAGAUCAAAAGUUUGCUGAGUUUCUUUGUGAGCAUGAAAACUCCUAAUCCACACACUCAAGAAACUUGCAUUAGGAUUCUUCUCUUUCCAUUGUUUCUGAUCUGUCUCGACAAAUCCAAAAGGUAAGUGAUAAAUAAUAUAGUUCUGUUUAGACAUCCCUUGAAUUUAAUGGACACUGUGGAGUAUAAAAGUAGUUGAACCAGGCUCAAAAACAUGUUGGAUGAUUUUUUUUCAAC